This is a long non-coding RNA of Myotis myotis, 4534 nucleotides long. RefSeq lists it as uncharacterized. The record is from RefSeq and is a predicted model, not a curated record. The transcript is spliced from 7 exons. NCBI's taxonomy places the organism in Eukaryota, Metazoa, Chordata, Mammalia, Chiroptera, Vespertilionidae.
GAAAGGGGCGGGGAGGACAGUUUAAGCUCGGACGGGCAGAGUUGCGGGUGGCAGAGUGCGGGCUCGGUGGGAGGUUCGCCGGCAGGGAGCGAGGACCGCAGCUGCCUGGGAGCGAGGAGGCGCUGGGACUCCGGGGUCAGCCCAGCACCUCGUCCUGCAGAGGAGAUCGGCGAAGCUGGGGGAUGCACCGGCUGCCAAGGCGACCCUGUGCGCAGGGAAGAGAAGGAUGGCUAAAGGAGACUUGAUUUUCUUGGAUUUGCUGCAAUUCCUUAAACCAAACCAGUCUUUCGAGGAGUUAAAGUAAAUUACGGGUGGCAGUGCAGAAGCCAAAAUGGGAGCUUCUAGAAGUGGUUUCUGAAAAAUAAGACCACAUAUACACGAGUAAGCAAGCACAGGAAUCUGAAAAAACCACAGGUCAAGAUACAGAACAUUUCAAGCGCCCCAGAAGAUUUCCUCCUUUUUACACUUCUGGUCAGUUUUCGUCCCACUUCCAACCUGAAGAUGGAGAAACUGAGCCCUGAAAGGUUGCAACAUCCUUGAAGGACUAAAGUAGCAUAUGGCUUAUUCAGGAGGUAAAGAUGAGAACAGCUUCUACUUAGUUGGUGCCCUGUUGAAGAGAAAUGCUUUUGCUCAGCUUGGAAUGAAAUGCAGAUAACCCUUUAGAAAACUUUUGUAGGAAAGCACCUCGUGUGAUCUGGAACAAAGACAUUAUAUAAUCAGAUUUAUCAAGCUGUGAAGAGGGAGUUUUAGCGAACAGAAGCAGCAUUCUGUCACCAGGAAAUACUGCUUUAUCCAGAAUUGAACCCAUAAACAGAGUGAGGAAUUCGAAAAAGUAGCAGCCCAAGAAUAUAGCAUGAAGGCUGAGAAGCAGCCAGGUAAUUAACAAAGAUUAACUGAGCAUUGCCAGUUUAGGCAAAUAUAUGUAAUACAACUAGUUUGGUUCUCCCCCCUUUUUACCUUUUCCUUUUUAAUGGGGGGAAUCAAAAUGGGUUAGUUGGUAACACUGUAGCAUUAACUUCCAUGGACGUAGAUUUCCAUUUAGUAUGGAUAGUAUGUAUGAUUUUUGGAAGAACGCUUUUAUAAUUAGGCAACUUGCCCUCCUUUUUCCAUCCCUCUACCUAAGGAUGUCAAGUAUUUAGUUAGAACUCUACAAAAUGAAAGUUUAAGUAAUGCAUUAGAAACAUUUCUUACUGAUUAUGAAAGGCAGAUUAAGAUGAUAAUCGAUUUUUUUACAUUUGUAUCAUGAAUUUUAAGAGUGUUCUAUUUGAUUCCAUUAAUAUAGCAAAAGAGUAGUUUUUUCCAUAUGGUCCAUUACACUUUGAAAGGUCCUGAUGAGCCAUGCUUACUGGUGAGCCUGUCUAUCUUUCUCCAAAACUUUUAAAUUGUUUUCUAAUCUUGAAUCUGAACUUCCUUUGUGUUUAAGUUGACCAGAAGAAUACAAUAAAGCUUUGAAGACCUGUGUUCUAUACAGUAGGUUCUUGUUCAAGAAUGCUAAGGAAACAAGUUUAUAUUAGGCAUGAAUGUCUGAUUUCUUUUCUUGGCUUUUUAAGAAUUAUUUUUGCUGGAAAAGUUGAAUAGAAUAAGAAAAUACUAUUAGAAUGGUGGGUGGCUACCUGAUUUUACCAGUUUAUUAAUGGUCAAUAGAAGCAGUCAUGUGAUAUAUAUUUAUAGAAUCAGAUAGAAAAGAAUUGUUCUUUAACUGUUAGCAACAAUAUAGGUAACUUUGGUGAUCUCUCUAUAUAAAUGUGAAUUCAUAGAAUUAAAGCUGUUAUCAGAAUUGUGCAUUUUGGGAUAUAUAGGAUAUAAUAUUAUUUAUUUUGUUUUCAGUAUCUUAAGCCAAAUUGAAGGUUGAAGCUGCAUUUCUGACUUGGUUCCCAUUCUGUUGCUUUCAAAAUCUUAAAAUUCAUAACUUGAAAUGGAAAAUGUAUAAUAAAAUGCAGGCUAGCAAUGCUGUAGUUCUCUCUGGCACUAGCGUGGGAUGAGGGUGGAGGAGAGGGAAAUGAACCCAUGGGGAUACAUUAAUUGGUAUUUUUUCUUUCAUAAUUUGAGAAUGUUAAAGAUUAUUAUUCUCAAACAGCUUUCAAAGACAUAGACAAAGAGCAAGAUAAGCAUGGCCUUUAGGGGCAGGUCCUCCAAUAAAUCAGAUCGAUGAUGCAAGUGUGAAUAUUACUAUUAUUUGACUUAAUUAAGGUGUGGCUGAAGAUGUGGAAAAAGUCUACUCAUUUCCUUGAAGCACAUGAAUUUAUGGGUUUUAGAGUCUUGAAGACAGAAAAAUGGUGAUGAAGAAUUAAGAUAUUGACAGGUAAUUUACAUCCAACUCCUAGUUGUAUGCAGUGAUUCACAAGUAUUUUCAGCUCUAUUUCAUGUAAUUACUUGGGCAAAAUAUGAUGAUUUAACAAUCUAGCUAAAGACUGCCAUGCUUAAUGGAAAAAAAGCCUCUAUAUAAUUUGUAGAUUUGACUCAUCCAUUUAGAAUCCAUUGUCGUGAAUGAAAAGACAAAAACAAAAACCGAUAGAAGCAGGCUGAAACAGUAAAUGCUGGAAAGUAUUUUCCAGAAUAAUUCUUUUAGAUCUUCAUGAUUUCAGUUCUGUUUGCUGUGCUGUUAUUUACAAAAAUAUAUGAAAACUAAAUAACAUGGCAUUGUCCUGAAUUCUCCACUGGUGUUAUUGAAAGUGUUAAUAGCGUGUAUACUCUGUAAACAGUGACAGACCUCAAAUUAGUUCCUCCCAAAUUGUAUUUGGUAUUUUUAUAGUCAGAAAUAGAAAGGCUUUCCCUUGGGGCUUGUUUCUUACAUUUUUGCUGUGGUGUACCUUUUUGCCCAAUUUGCCCAAUUUUUCAAGGUAUGUAUAUGUAUGUGUUUAUAUACUUGAUUGGAAGGGGGAGCUUUAAUUGCUAGCAAAACAAGUGGGUGUUUGUUAGAACCUAGAUAAGCCUCAUAGUGUUGUUCCUAUGACAACUGAGGGGUUGGGUGUUGAAAUGUAGCUUUAAGUUCUCAGUUUGGAAAUGUCAUUCAGACCUCCCACCACAGUCUUAUUGAGUAGGAGGAUAAUGAGAAGGGGGGAAAAACCACGAAGCAACAUAAGUAUCUCCAUUCUUUUCAUGUCUUCCUGACUUGUCUUUGUGUAUGGAUCACCAUGGGGGUGGUAAACCCUAGGUCUUGAACAAAGCAAUGCUUCAGCAUAAAAUAAAUGGAAAGAGGUCAAAAAAGUUGGGGAAGAUAAAUAACAAACAGGGGUAAUAGGCAGAAGAAGUCUUUUAUCCAGCGCGGACCAGCAGUGAGACCAUCUUGAAUGAGUUACUGUAUAUCUCUUCAAGAGCUGCAAAUAUUUCCUUAAAACGCAAUGUGGAGAAAAUUCCUUCGGAAGCAGGAUAGUUUACCACUUUGGCAUAAUGCUUAUUUAUCUCCCCUAGGCUGAUUACAGAGGACACUAUUCUUUUAAGGUACAUGCUUUUAAGUCAGUUAUUUCUCAUUUAAUAGCUUGUCUUUUUUUUUCCCUAUGGGAAAGAUCAAUCGUGCUAUUAAAAAGUGGUAAACUUGGGUAUUUUACCCUAUGUUCAAAAAUUACUUGAAAAAAAAACCCUUAAAGACUGUUAGAGACUGGUUGUUUGUGGAAAUGAUUUGGUUGACUGAGAAUCUUAUGGCACACUGUAUUGGGGGGCAAAGGUUGUUUAGACCAAUUUUGGGGAUCGAUUAGUUAUGCAGUGUGGAUUUUCCAUGCCUAAAGGGCUUCCUACUUUCUACUCUUAAAUGGUUUUUACUAUUUAUUUGGUCAUUAGCAUAUCCAGAAGUUAGAAAGGAAAAAUAGACUUCAGUGGGUUUUACCCCUUACUUAAUAUAUAGGUCCACCAUCUCUAUUGAAAUCCAAAAAGGUCUGAAAACCAAAUGAUUUUAAUGUCAAAAACUUGGUAGCAGAUCAUGACCUGAACUGACGUGAAGCUAUUUGUAGUCUUUAUCUCACUUCAUACAAAUGUUAGUAUGUUUUAUUGUAGCAAUAUUAAUAUGUUUGGUCAUGGAGUGCUGCACCAGACUUGCCUGGAAUUUUAUAUUGAUGGAAUAGUUACCCUAUUAAAUUUACAAAAUUUCAGAUAAGGAUUUGUGGACUUCUAAUUACUGAUAUGCGUGGAGCUUAUAUUAUGUGCCAGGGAUAUAAUUAUCUCCAUUUUACAUGGGAAACUGAUGCACAGAGAGGUGAAGCAACUUGCCCAAAGAAACACAGCCAGGAAAUUGUAGAGCCAGGAUUUGGAAGCCAUUAGUCUAACUGCAGCCUACUCUUAACUGAGAAUGCUUAUAACAGGUUCUCCUAGCGGGGAGUGUGCAAGUUCCAGGGGUCUCAGAGGCUCCUAAUCUCUUCACACGUUUCCUAACAUUGAUCUCUAUCAACAGUCUGACUUCUUUAGUUGGGAAAAUGAAGACAAAAAAAUAACUCUUUCCUUAGCCCCAAGGAACUUAUCUUGACUAGUGGAAAAAGUUAUUGCGUAGACAUUCCCUGGGUCCUUAACUCCAGCAGGAGGUCUGGGCUGUGAGGAAAGAGGG